This 301-nucleotide ribosomal RNA is filed under the name uncultured bacterium. RNAcentral describes it as "partial 16S ribosomal RNA". It matches the Rfam family "Bacterial small subunit ribosomal RNA", at positions 509 to 809 of the family's 1533-position model. The record is from RNAcentral.
CAGUCGCCACGGUAAUACGAAGGGGGCUAGCGUUGCUCGGAAUGACUGGGCGUAAAGGGCGCGUAGGCGGAUUGUUUAGUUAGGCGUGAAAUUCCUGGGCUUAACCUAGGAAUUGCAUUUGAUACGUGUAGGCUAGAGUGGGGAAGAGGGUUGUGGAAUUCCCAGUGUAGAGGUGAAAUUCGUAGAUAUUGGAAGGAACACCUGUGGCGAAAGCGGCUCACUGGCUCAUUCUAGACGCUGAGGUGCGAAAGCGUGGGGAGCAAACAGGAUUAGAUACCCCUGUAGUCCCUGUCUCUUAUAU